UUUUCGUCCCUGAAUUACGAUCUCAGCCCAUGUUGCCUCACACUGCCUCUCUGUUAUUAAAAUUCCUUUCUACACAAUUCAUAGGAACAUAAAUCCUUCCUUUAAAGUCUAACCAAUAAUGCUUCCAGAAAAUUAGAUUCUCCGUUUAAAAAAUUGACACUUAACAAUAAUGUGCCUCCUUCCAGUCCUUCCCUCUUUCUGGAAAUCUUAGGACAGGUAGAGACAUGGGGGUGGAUGAAAUGACUUUCAGGAGCCCGUUGCAUGGCCACACCCAUAAUCUACUGGUUGUGCUUGUUUCUUUGCUAUCACUAGUCUUCUAGUCGUAUGACCUGGAAUUAUUACUUAAAAUGUGAUUCAAAUGCUGUGUAAAUAUGGCCAAAAUGUUUGUUUUCUUCAGUGAUGGAAGUAGGAUUAAGCAGGCAGGGAGCAGAGCUCCAGGGUCCACCGGCACAGGAGCCAGCGACAGACCUCACCAGACAAGUCCCCAGAGUGAAUUGUUCCAGUUCCCAUCACAGGCUUUCUCCACCUGACUUAUCCAAAAGGCUGAGAAGCAAUCCCGUCUCAGGCUUUCUCACCAGAUUUGAUUCAUCUGCAUGCUCCAUGAAGGCUCAGUUUCAGAUGAACCAUCAUGCUGAUGUCUGUAGGCACAUCUCAGGAUCCUUUCAGACAGAGGAAUGGGAAGUCGAUGACAUCCAAGCAAGGGGGAUGUGUUUUUCUCCAACUCUGAAGUCCCACUCAACAAGAGGCUAUGGUCUGAAUGUGUGUGUCCUCUCCAGAAUUCAUGCUGAAACCUGAACACCAAUGUGAUAGUAUUAAGAGUGGGGCCUUUAGGAGGUGAUUAAAUCCUGAGGGUGGAUCCCUUGUGAAUGGGAUUAGUGACCUUAUGAAUGGGCUGGAACUUAAAGUAAAAUAAAAAUUAAAAAACAAAAAAAGAAAGGGCCGGGAAAACUGUCUAAGUCCUUUUACCCUUUUGCUUGUGGCCACGUGAGGACACAGCAACAAGGUGCCAUCUUGGAAGCAGAGACGAAAGCAGACACCGAACCUGCCAGUUCCUUGAUCUUGGGCUUUCCCGCCUCCAGAACUGUCAGCAAGAAAAGUAUGUUACCUACAAAUCGCCCAGUCUAAGGUAUUUUGCUAUAGCAGCAUAAACAGACUGAGACAACAGGUAUUGGCCUCUCCCAGAAUCAUGGAGGGCUGUUUUACAUCUGAGUCAGGUGCAGCUGAUGGGGGUCUUUAACUGGGAGUUGGUCAUGGCUGGCCUGCUCUGAUCCUCUGGAAUUUACAGCAGGUACAACGUGGGGAAUGAGAAGUUAAGUCCAAAUUAAAUGAAAAAGCUCCAGAGAAGCAGCUGAUUUUGCUCAGGGUUUUCAUUUUGAAGCAUCUGUAAUUUGGAAUAAUUAGAAGCAUUUCAGACUCUUGUCCAGCCCUAGUCCAGUAGAAAUCCUGGGGACUCUGAGGCCACUUGAGGGGCGAUCGAGGUUGUGAAAAACUGACUCUUAGGAGAGUGACUCAGUCAUCUGCAGCUGCAGUUCCUCUGAAAAUCCCUGAGAGGUACAUGGUCAUCUGGUUUCCCAGAUGAAGAAAUCACAAGCUUCUUUAAAGAACAGCGGGGCAGUUAGGUGAAAAGUGAACAAUACAGUCAGUCCAGCCAUUUGUUCUUUCCCUGUGUGUCAAAUAACUCAUUUCUGCAGGUGCAGCCCUGGUUUUGAAAAUCAGGAGCCUUGUCUCGCAGCUCCAGUUCUGCCACUGACAAGCUGCGACAUGUGGGGAACAUCAGUCAGCCAUCUCUCUGGCUUCAGUUUCUAUACCUAUAAAAUAAGUGUUGGACAGGUUGAAAUUCUUUCAGCCGUAGCAAAACUGUGAUUCUAUGAACCACACCAUUUGUUGUGCUGUCAUGGAAACAGCCUGAGGCUCAGUUAACCUUACUAAUUUCCCCAAAGGACUGACCCGAGGCAGAGUGGUGCCCCUGCUUUAGAAGUCUCCACAGUUCAGGUGAGGGAAGCUGUGCAGGGUGGGAGGAGGGGAAUGGGAAUUCAGCCUGUGGGCUUUGGCAUCUUUGCCCUGGCCCACUCUUUGGGCUAAACGUGUAUGUUCUUUUAAAAGGAGAGAAGGGAGGUCCUUAAACUUGGAAGAGGGAUGACUCCUGCAUUCUAAAUACGGAAUGAAUGGAGUGCUUCCAAGUUUGCAAAUGAGAGCUCUUUUAAAAUGAAUAUUCUUUAAAUAGGGGUCUAUGAACAUUUUUCUAGGGACUAGCCAAGCAUUGACUGUUUUGAGGGAAUUAAUGUUCAGAUUCUCAACUUAGAUGUGUAUGCUUUCUGCCUUAUAAUAUACCUGCUUCUGUAGUUCACAUUUCCGAACUCUUUUUUUCCCCCAGCCAACUUCCGCUUUAUAAAAACACUGUGUGCCUCUCACCCAUCCUGAAUCUCCCGAGGGUGCAUUACUUGCACUGUGAAAACCUGGGUGCCACAGGGACAGCUCUAGAACACGUCUGUCCUGAAGGAGAUUCCCCCGAGAGAGACAUAAGGACAUAUUUUCCUUAGAAAAUACUGGAGAUGAAGGUAUUGGACUUCAUCUGGUGACAAGCCCAGGCUAAGGCUAUUUAUGCCUUAGCUAAGAAUUUGGAUUCAGAAGUGAGACAAUUGUCACAAGGAUACCAGUGAACUUGUUAGAUUUCAAAAAUGAAGUCCAACUUUUUCUGAAAGAAAUAGUCUGAUAUGGCUUCUUCCCACCCCUGGUCCCAUUAGCCCCAUGUCUGUGUCAAACGCUGUUCCCAUGAGUUCUGACCUCCGUGCUUCUUUUUAACAAACUUCU
Long non-coding RNA from Rhinopithecus bieti (black snub-nosed monkey), 2811 nucleotides. The record is from Ensembl. Lineage: Eukaryota; Metazoa; Chordata; Mammalia; Primates; Cercopithecidae.